This 85-nucleotide transfer RNA is filed under the name Felis catus (domestic cat). It matches the Rfam family "tRNA". Rfam says of the family: Transfer RNA (tRNA) molecules are approximately 80 nucleotides in length. Their secondary structure includes four short double-helical elements and three loops (D, anti-codon, and T loops). Further hydrogen bonds mediate the characteristic L-shaped molecular structure. tRNAs have two regions of fundamental functional importance: the anti-codon, which is responsible for specific mRNA codon recognition, and the 3' end, to which the tRNAs corresponding amino acid is attached (by aminoacyl-tRNA synthetases). tRNAs cope with the degeneracy of the genetic code in two manners: having more than one tRNA (with a specific anti-codon) for a particular amino acid; and 'wobble' base-pairing, i.e. permitting non-standard base-pairing at the 3rd anti-codon position. The record is from Rfam by way of RNAcentral. Lineage: Eukaryota; Metazoa; Chordata; Mammalia; Carnivora; Felidae.
GCCUGGGUGGCUCAGUCGGUUGAGUGUCCGACUUCAGCUCAGAGCAUGAUCUUGCAGUUCGUGGGUUCGAGCCCCAUGUCGGGCU